GUUAGGAAUAUUGGACAAUGGGCGCAAGCCUGAUCCAGCCAUGCCGCGUGAACGAUGAAGGCCUUCGGGUUGUAAAGUUCUUUAGCCGAUGAUUAUAAUGACUGUAGUCGGAAAAUAAGCCCCGGCUAACUUCGUGCCAGCAGCCGCGGUAAUACGAAGGGGGCGAGCGUUAUUCGGAAUCACUGGGCGUAAAGCGUGCGUAGGCGGUCUCGUAAGUUAGGAGUGAAAGCCCAGGGCUCAACCUUGGAAUUGCUCUUAAUACUGCAAGGCUAGAAUCUCGGAGAGGAUAGCGGAAUUUCCAGUGUAGCAGUGAAAUGCGUAGAUAUUGGAAGGAACACCAGUGGCGUAAGCGGCUAUCUGGACGAGUAUUGACGCUGAGGCACGAAAGCGUGGGGAUCAAACAGGAUUAGAAACCCCGGUAGUCC
This 425-nucleotide ribosomal RNA is filed under the name uncultured bacterium. Its description in RNAcentral is "partial 16S ribosomal RNA". It matches the Rfam family "Bacterial small subunit ribosomal RNA", at positions 354 to 796 of the family's 1533-position model. The record is from RNAcentral.